GGAAUCUUCCACAAUGGACGCAAGUCUGAUGGAGCAACGCCGCGUGAGUGAAGAAGGGUUUCGGCUCGUAAAGCUCUGUUGUUAAAGAAGAACGUGGGUAAGAGUAACUGUUUACCCAGUGACGGUAUUUAACCAGAAAGCCACGGCUAACUACGUGCGAG
RNAcentral lists this ribosomal RNA (161 nucleotides) under uncultured bacterium. Its description in RNAcentral is "partial 16S rRNA". It matches the Rfam family "Bacterial small subunit ribosomal RNA", at positions 358 to 511 of the family's 1533-position model. The record is from RNAcentral.